This 1603-nucleotide long non-coding RNA is filed under the name Equus caballus (horse). Its description in RNAcentral is "lncRNA (ENSECAG00000052327.1)". The record is from RNAcentral. Lineage: Eukaryota; Metazoa; Chordata; Mammalia; Perissodactyla; Equidae.
GGAAUAAUGUACAUAAAAAGUACCUUCAACUGAAUGAGCAGUCAGUGGUAGCCUUUGCCUGCCUCGUGUUGCCAAACCUUAAUCAAAGUCUUCCCCGUUCCCAAGCCCCUGGUCCAUUAAUUCAGACCACAUUUUUUCUCAGUUUUCCAGCACUGUGUGGUUAAGUAACUGUGUAGGCUUCUUGUGGACCUUGCCUUUCUUACUAGAAAUUGUAUGAUGGACCAAGCGGUCACGCAGCCUUGGGUCUGAAUUCCCAGCUCAGCCCCUUACUAUGUCACCUAACAAAUCACUUCAACUCUCAGACGUAUUUUCCUGAUGUGUGAAAUGGUGAGCAUUCUGUUGCCCAACAAGCUUAUUGUGAUAUCAGUGCCUGGUAUGCAGCAGGUGCUAAAUAAAUAUUAGUCCUCCCUCCCUGCACCUGUUUCCUACAGCUACCAUAACAAAUUAUCACAAACUUAAUGGUUUAAAACAACACAAAUUUAUUGUCUUACAGUUCUGGAGGUCAGAAGUCCAAAAUGGAUCUCAUGGGUAUGGAAGUAUCGGCAGGGCUGUGUUCUGCUGGAGGCUCUGGGGAGAGUCUGUUUCCUGGCCUUUUCCACAUUUAGAGGCUGCCUGCUUUCCUUCGCUCAUAUUCCAUCUUCAAAGCCAGCAAUCACUUUGCCUCUGCUUCUGUCAUCACAUCUCGUUUUCUCUGACUCUCUGACUCUCCUUCCUUCUCUUUUCCCACCCAGAGAAUCCAGGAUAAUCUCCCUUUCUCAAAAUACUUAUUUAAUUACAUCUGCUAUUUCUUUUGUUAUGUAAGGUAACAUGUCACAGGUCCCAGGGCUUCAGAUGUAGCCCUAUUUAGGGGCCAUUAUUCUCUCUACCACUCCCUUUUAACUUUUUGCUGAUUAUGCAAACCUGAGCCCAUCAUCCCUGGCCCUCAGGUCAACUCUGCCCUCCAGUUUUCUUAUGCCUUGAUACCAGCUCACUUGGUCAUCAAGACCUCCAGCUGAUGGCUCGCUCACAAACUUCAAGACCAAUGAGCCAGAGUGAAUUGAAAGAGCAUUUUGUGUACAACUCCUGUGUUACAGAUGAGGAAGAGGAAGCAGACCACAGAAGACAUUUAUUUAAGGUCACGCUAGUUCUUGUUAACUCAAGAAGUCGGACUUAAAUUUCCUGAUGUUCAGGAACUGUGACUUGAUUCUAACCCAUAGAAUACGGCAAAGGCAACGUCAUGUCGCUCUCCUGGAUUACACUGCAUUAGAUAAGACUCUAUCAUAGCAGUCUGGAGCUGAAGACUCUCUUUGUGGGCUGGAUGAAGCCAGCAGCCGCGUUGGAGGAGCCCAGGUGACAAGGUGACCUCUAGGACUGGGAACCCACCUCCUAACAACAGCAAGAAGCUGAGACCCUCAGUAAUAUAACCCCAAGGAAAUGAUUUCUACCAACUUGAAUGAGCUGGGUAGCAGAUUCUUCCCCAGCUGAGCCUUCAAAUGAGAAUGUGUCCCAGCCAACAGCUUGAUUAUAGGAGUGUGAGAGCCGAGCAGAGGACCCAGCCAAGCUGUGCCUGAACUCCUGCCCAACAGAAACUGUGAGAUAAUAAAUAUGUGUUGUUUUAAGCUGA